RNAcentral lists this unclassified non-coding RNA (339 nucleotides) under soil metagenome. RNAcentral's name for it is "partial contains 5.8S ribosomal RNA, internal transcribed spacer 2, and large subunit ribosomal RNA". The stretch from base 1 to 120 matches the Rfam family "5.8S ribosomal RNA", at positions 35 to 154 of the family's 154-position model. The record is from RNAcentral.
GAUGAAGAACGUAGCGAAAUGCGAUAAGUAAUGUGAAUUGCAGAAUUCCGUGAAUCAUCGAAUCUUUGAACGCACAUUGCGCCCGCCAGUAUUCUGGCGGGCAUGCCUGUUCGAGCGUCAUUUCAACCAUCAAGCCCCCCGGCUUGUGUUGGGGACCUGCGGCUGCCGCAGGCCCUGAAAUCCAGUGGCGGGCUCGCCGUAGCACCGAGCGUAGUAGCACACUUCUCGCUCCGGUAGCAGCGGCGGGCGCUUGCCGUAAAACCCCCCCUAAAAUCUCAAGGUUGACCUCGGAUCAGGUAGGAAUACCCGCUGAACUUAAGCAUAUCAAUAAGCGGAGGA